RNAcentral lists this ribosomal RNA (440 nucleotides) under uncultured bacterium. Its description in RNAcentral is "partial 16S ribosomal RNA". It matches the Rfam family "Bacterial small subunit ribosomal RNA", at positions 338 to 795 of the family's 1533-position model. The record is from RNAcentral.
CCUACGUGAGGCAGCAGUGGGGAAUAUUGGACAAUGGGGGGAACCCUGAUCCAGCGACGCCGCGUGAGUGAAGAAGUAUCUCGGUAUGUAAAGCUCUAUCAGCAGAGAAGAAAAUGACGGUACCUGACUAAUAAGCCCCGGCUAACUACGUUCCAGCAGCCGCGGUAAUACGUAGGGGGCAAGCGUUAUCCGGAUUUACUGGGUGUAAAGGGAGCGUAGACGGUGCAGUAAGUCUGAUGUGAAAGUUCGGGGCCCAACCCCGGGACUGCAUUGGAAACUGUUGAACUGGAGUACAGGAGAGGUAAGCGGAAUUCCUAGUGUAGCGGUGAAAUGCGUAGAUAUUAGGAGGAACACCAGUGGCGAAGGCGGUCUGCUGGACAGCAACUGACGCUGAGGCGCGAAAGUGUGGGGAGCAAACAGGAUUAGAUACCCCAGUAGUC